RNAcentral lists this ribosomal RNA (250 nucleotides) under uncultured bacterium. RNAcentral's name for it is "partial 16S ribosomal RNA". It matches the Rfam family "Bacterial small subunit ribosomal RNA", at positions 102 to 353 of the family's 1533-position model. The record is from RNAcentral.
ACGGGUGAGUAAUGUCUGGGAAACUGCCUGAUGGAGGGGGAUAACUACUGGAAACGGUAGCUAAUACCGCAUAACGUCGCAAGACCAAAGAGGGGGACCUUCGGGCCUCUUGCCAUCAGAUGUGCCCAGAUGGGAUUAGCUAGUAGGUGGGGUAACGGCUCACCUAGGCGACGAUCCCUAGCUGGUCUGAGAGGAUGACCAGCCACACUGGAGCUGAGACACGGUCCAGACUCCUACGGGAGGCAGCAUG